UACGAAGGGGGCUAGCGUUGUUCGGAAUUACUGGGCGUAAAGCGCGUGUAGGCGGGUCCUUAAGUCAGGGGUGAAAUGCCAAGGCUCAACCCUGGAAUUGCCUUCGAUACUGGACAUCUUGAGUACGGGAGAGGUGAGUGGAACUCCGAGUGUAGAGGUGAAAUUCGUAGAUAUUCGGAAGAACACCAGUGGCGAAGGCGACUCACUGGCCCGUUACUGACGCUGAUGCGCGAAAGCGUGGGGAGCAAACAGG
RNAcentral lists this ribosomal RNA (253 nucleotides) under uncultured bacterium. Its description in RNAcentral is "partial 16S ribosomal RNA". It matches the Rfam family "Bacterial small subunit ribosomal RNA", at positions 524 to 776 of the family's 1533-position model. The record is from RNAcentral.